GAUUUUUGAGCUUGCUUUGCUUGAUCUUCUGCUUCUUGGUUGUUGCACCUAUAUUUUUCUACUUAUUUAAUUCAUUCUUUGCUACAUUUUGCAGAUUUAAAAUUAAUCUGUUAAAUAUAUUAUGUUUUUGUGAGUUAUACAGUGCCCGACGUUUUUCUACUUUUUUCUAAUCCACUGUUUGCUGUCUUACUGCUAUAUAAAUAACACAUACAUAGUAUCCUAUUUUUCUGUCUCAUAUGCCUGUACAAAUAUGUGCUAUAUUAGUGUUUCUUUGAUAUAUAACUCCCAUUAUUGUCAAAUCUUGCAUCUUAAUAUCUGUUUUUACAGGCUCAUUCCCAAGUACUUACUAGACACAUUUCCUUUUUUACUUUGGCAUUAGGUUUGUUGUACUUUCAUCUAAAAAAGAAAUCAUGGGCCUUGGAAGCUGGUUGAGCAGUCAAUUGGGUCUAUAACAAAUGUUUAUAGCAUUUACCGUACAAUAAGCAUUGCAAUAUCUGCACUUUGAGAAGAUUUUGCCUUUUAUACAUAUGCAGUUUUCAGUUUCUCAUUUUGCCCUACUGUUAACAUGGGCAAUUGUUUUGUAUAGGUUCUUGCAUUGCUGAAAAAAUGUUUGGUAUAGAUUCAAGAGAGUUAAAUGCUCCCUCCGAGGCAAGUUACCCGAAGGGCCAACUGGAACGUAAUACAAAGCGCUUGGCAGAUGUCGUCUCAGAUGCUUCAAAUUUUCAGUCAUUCAUUAUGAUAAACUUUGGAAGCUUUAGCAACAAUCUUUCUACUCCCUCUGGAGAGUUUGUUUCUGGCUGGUGCUCGUCUGACAUUCUAGUUUGUGAAGAGGAUGCACCAUUAAUAUGAGAAGGAUCUGUUUCUCAACAUGUUCAUACGGGUCAUAGAGAAGGACUAUUAGAAACUGUCAGAUGGCAAAGUGUCCACAGUUAGCAAUAACUUGUGUUCACUGUUAUGUCAUGCAGAGUCUUUAGUUCCAGGAUUUUUGAAUGAAGAUGAUGUACAACUGCUGAGGGAAUACGCUUCAUAAAAAGGAAUUUUAGUGCCAGAAAAGGAAGGUAGGAAGGUAAGACUGAUCUUGUAAAGAUGACAGGAAAGAUGGUAGUAUAUAUUUAAAGAAAACAAUUUAAUCGAUCACUCAAAAUUAAAUGUUGGAAUGUUUCGAAGAUGAUCUAAAUUGACAGAGUAUUAUGUUUUUUUUUAUUCUGAUAAAGAUGCAAUGGUAGAGGUUUGUUUUCAGCAUUUUGGUAUGUGAGAAGGAACUAGUUUCCAGCAGGUGGGAAAUCCGAGCUUUUAUUGUAGUCGUCAAAUCCUGGGUCUUGUGAAUGUGCUUAUUUGUCUAAGUUGUUUGAGGGCGAGCAAGACUUCUGUUUUGGGGGUAUUUGAUGUGUGUGGUUAAUUUAACUUGUUAUUAUACAAUGGAUGGAAUGGAGGGUAGCAUACUACUACUCCAGUUCAAUUUUGACCACCUCACUAUUAAUUCCAGUGAGUUGAAGGGUAUAAAGCUGCAACUAAUAUUUGUAUUUUUAUAAACCUAACUUUAGUUCGAUAUUUAGUGUCAUUUCAUACUAAAGCCAUCAAUGAAGAACUACUGCAAAAUCUUUCUGAUGCUCUACACUUGUCGGUACCUGAUAAAAUUAGGGUUGGAUUUCUUUGUCUAAUUUUGAAGAACACGAUAUCUUCACGAUACCAGGAUGUGUGGUUAGUUAUUCUCUUCUUUGUACAUACAUUUAGAUAUAAUUUUUUGUUUAGUUGUAGGAAGUGGAAUACAUACAACAGUCUAUUAUUUUUGUAUCCUUGGAAUUCUUCUACCUGUUGCACUAAACCUGUAACCCUUUUCUUGGCUGUGUAUCCUUGGAAUUCUUCUACCUGUUGCACUAAACCUGUAACCCUUUUCUUGGCUGUAUGCAGGAAAGAAUUUCUGUUUGAUUUAGAUUACUAAGCUGUGUGCCAAUUCUGCUGCGUUUGAGGCUACUGAUAUAAUUUAGCAUAUUCUCGUGUCACUCUUAGUCGAUUUGAAGGCCUCUAUAAGCAUUUAGAUUCAUUCUACUUGAAGGCCUCUCUAAGCAUUUAGUUUCAUUUUUUCAAAAUGUUAUCUCUUGUGCAACUAAGGUGUUUUCUGUGAUAGUUCCUAGUGCAUAAUAGAGUAGAAUGUACUUGGUCGAUCUGAAGGUCGGGGGUGGCAGGUCGGGGGGAAGGUGUGGAAAACAGAAGGCACAAGUCUAUUUAUUGAUUUUUGACCUUGCUUUGCGUGGUCUUCUGCUUCCUAGUUGUUGCCCCUAUAUUUUUAUAUUUAUUUUAUUCAUUAUUUGCUGCCUUUUGCAGCUAAUUAUUGAACUGUUACAUAUAUUAAAUUUUUGUUUGUUAUACUGUGACUGACGUUUUUCAUCUUUUUCUAAUCCACCUUUUGCUACCUUGCAGCAUAAUUAAUUAAUACAUACAUAGCAUCAUACUUUUCUUUGUCUAUGCCGUGUACAAAUAUGUGCAAUAUUAGUGUUUCUUUGAUAUGUAUACCCAUCGAUUGUCAAUUCUUGGCUUCUUAAUAUAUCUGUUAACUAGACACAUUUCCUUUUUACUCUGGCAUUCAGUUUGCUGUACUUGCAUCUAAAAAGAAAUCAUGGGCCUUGGAAGCUGGUUGAGCACCCAAUUAGUGUCACGUAAAGAUACUUUCUAUGAGGUUAGUGUUGCCACUACUGUGGCAGGGUGACUGAAUUUUAAUAUUUUUGCAAUGCCGGAAUGGAAACUGCAGCUUGUUGUUACUAUGUAGUAAAUACUUCAAUUACAAUGGAUGGAAUCUAGACUACUUCGAUUUCUAUAUAUUUAGUCAAGUUCCUCAACAAUUUAAUAUGACUUAAUAUCUCUUAUAUGCCAGUUAAGCAGUUUAAUACGUAGUCUACUAUAUUUGAGUUUGUUAUCUUUACUGUCCGUUUGAUGAUUAUGAUUGAUACAACAAAUUUUGGUUUACAAAUUAGUAGCAUUGUAAAAUACUAUUCAACCUAACUAAGUUGAAUAUUACCCUGUUAUAAUCAGUUUGUCUAUAAUGUUUAUCCUUUGUGAAUGCUUCUGCUUCAGGAUCAGUCAUUAAACAUCAAUGUGUGACUCACCGUACAUGGGGUAUUGCUUUACGUGCUAUUUUAGAUGCUUUGAGGAAGCCUGCAGAUUCAGAAAUUUCUUCCUUCCUAGUUUAUCAGUUAAUGUUAUUAUUGUGAAUUUCAGUCUUACCUUGGAUUUAUAACAUUCUGAUGUUUUCCUUUGAGAGUAUGGCAUUGGAGCAGUUUGUGGACCAUCUCAUUGAGUGGCCACAGUAUAGAGAGGGCACUCAACAGUAUUUCAGCGGCUUAUACUGAACCUGAUGGUGGCCAUAGUGCCAAUACUGCUCACCGACGCGGUCAUAUUCAAUCUUCAGCUCCACAUAUAGAGCAUUUUGUCUCGAUUAGCAAUUCCCUCUUCGAUCCCACUGCAAAAGAGACCACCAAGUUCUCUGAGUUCACUCCUAAUUACAUGAAGCCAUCACAACACACCUACCCUUCCUAAGGCA
Molecule: long non-coding RNA, 3538 nt
Organism: Salvia splendens (bonfire salvia)
Lineage: Eukaryota; Viridiplantae; Streptophyta; Magnoliopsida; Lamiales; Lamiaceae
Exons: 6
Source: RefSeq, a predicted model, not a curated record